This 477-nucleotide ribosomal RNA is filed under the name uncultured organism. RNAcentral's name for it is "partial 16S ribosomal RNA". It matches the Rfam family "Bacterial small subunit ribosomal RNA", at positions 331 to 799 of the family's 1533-position model. The record is from RNAcentral.
GUACACUCCUGCGGGAGGCAGCAGUGGGGAAUUUUGGACAAUGGGCGAAAGCCUGAUCCAGCCAUGCCGCGUGCAGGAUGAAGGCCUUCGGGUUGUAAACUGCUUUUGUACGGAACGAAACGGCCUUUUCUAAUAAAGAGGGCUAAUGACGGUACCGUAAGAAUAAGCACCGGCUAACUACGUGCCAGCAGCCGCGGUAAUACGUAGGGUGCAAGCGUUAAUCGGAAUUACUGGGCGUAAAGCGUGCGCAGGCGGUUAUGUAAGACAGUUGUGAAAUCCCCGGGCUCAACCUGGGAACUGCAUCUGUGACUGCAUAGCUAGAGUACGGUAGAGGGGGAUGGAAUUCCGCGUGUAGCAGUGAAAUGCGUAGAUAUGCGGAGGAACACCGAUGGCGAAGGCAAUCCCCUGGACCUGUACUGACGCUCAUGCACGAAAGCGUGGGGAGCAAACAGGAUUAGAUACCCGUGUAGUCCCAUG